Molecule: RNA transcript, 1180 nt
Organism: Brassica oleracea var. oleracea
Lineage: Eukaryota; Viridiplantae; Streptophyta; Magnoliopsida; Brassicales; Brassicaceae
Exons: 4
Source: RefSeq, a predicted model, not a curated record
AUAAAAAGAGAAAAUGGGGUCCAAAUUAGUCGGGGGAGGAAAAUAUGGCGACGGCUUUGUUCAACACGACCACCACACGCUCCUCUAACCUCUACCUCCUCCACCACUCAAUUCUUCCGCGGCUUCAGUUUCGCCGUCGAAGUAUCUCCUUACUCGUGACUCCUCGCAGCUUACGCCGCAUCGCCGUCGCUGGUGGCCCUCCAUCUCCUCCGACUCCUGAUCCGCCUCCGCCUGAGAAUACUACUCAGCUCGAAGGUCUUGUGGGAGCUGUGACAAGGGUUCAAGACCGUGUAAAGAUCUUCCUCGCAGUGCUGUUUUGGAUGUCUCUCUUCUUCUGGGUUACAGUGACCGAUGGGAGGGGUAAAGGAGGAAAAGGGAAGAAGGGCUCACGUUUCAAAUAGUUUUCCCAACUUGGUCAUCUAUGUUCGAGAGGUCAUUCUCCCCAACGGAUGCAGAGAAGAAGGUCGUUGAGUAUAUUCGGGCACGUGCAUUUCAUGACCACCAAGUGAUUGAUUACCCCAAAAAUACGCAUUUAAUGCGAACAUCCCAGAGUCGACGACGUGCCCUUUCAUUAGCACCCUUCUCAUUAAAGGCUUUAUAACGUGUCGUCGCUAUAUAUGAAAAGAAGCAUUAUACCAAUUUUAGAGAUGAAAGACGUGGUUAAAUAUCAUUGGGCUGUUAGUUUUGAAAUGUGUGUUACCAAAGUGACUUUAUCUUUCAUGCUCCUUUCUUCGGUUCCGACAAGUCCCUAAAGCUAUUUCUAUGUUUCAUACACGGAGAGAGAGAGAGCCAACUAACCACCAAACACACAACAAAAUCCCUAAUUUUUCCAACCGUCUGUCUUGUCUUCUCCGUGGUAACUCUUUUUUUCUUUUUCCGACAAUCAAACCCUCCUCCUAGGGAUUGCAAAACAAAAUGGGUACAGAAGAGGAAAGUGUACCUGUGGAGCUACCAGCACCUUCUUCAUGGAAAAAACUGGUUUGUUUCCUCUCUGAUCAUUUGAGACCUAGACUUUACUGUAUAAUGUUGAAAUGCAAUUUUACCAAAUCAUCUAGUACUUGAGAAAAAAAGUCACUUUGUCUUUUUUUUCUUUACAAUUAUUCCCCUUUAAAGACAUAGGGAAGGUAGUUGUCUGUAGCAUUGAUUGGAUGAUUCAAAAGGUAUAAACUUGGAAGAAGAA